UUUAACGGCUGCUCCUCCCUAACAAACGCUCUGCUGCUUUACUCUACGUCUGCAGGAACAUGCCAAUCACUGAGAGCGUUCUUUGAUUCAAUGCACCGUGUGAUUGAUCCGCCACCACAACAACAGCAGCUUGUUUCGUGCUGUUCAACGUUCGGAGACGCCACUAAAAAAAGACAUCGGCUGAACUACACACCUGCUGGUCCUAGAGUUUACAAGUCCUGUCUUCUCAACAUGACGCAGAGCAACUGUGGAUAACUUCAGGAAGCAGAGGAGCGAGUGUUUUUCAAGACUUCCUGAGGAUAUCAGGGCGAACAUCUGAAAAAGACACUGAGCUCCGAGCCCAGAACGGGGGAUCGACUUCCUGUCAUCGGAGGAAGUGAUGAUUAUCUGCAUCCUGUCAGGCUCCCUGAGCAUCGCACCAGGUAAAGCUACUUCCCAAAUCCCCGUCAUUGUCUCACAGAGUUCCCGUGUAGGACAGGGAUUAGGAGACGA
Molecule: long non-coding RNA, 492 nt
Organism: Mugil cephalus (flathead mullet)
Lineage: Eukaryota; Metazoa; Chordata; Actinopteri; Mugiliformes; Mugilidae
Exons: 3
Source: RefSeq, a predicted model, not a curated record